UACGUAGGGGGCAAGCGUUGUCCGGAUUUAUUGGGCGUAAAGAGCGUGUAGGCGGUUAGGUAGGUCCGUUGUGAAAACUCGAGGCUCAACCUCGAGACGCCGAUGGAAACCAUCUGACUAGAGUCCGGAAGAGGAGAGUGGAAUUCCUGGUGUAGCGGUGAAAUGCGCAGAUAUCAGGAAGAACACCCGUGGCGAAGGCGGCUCUCUGGGACGUGACUGACGCUGAGACGCGAAAGCGUGGGGAGCGAACAGG
This 253-nucleotide ribosomal RNA is filed under the name uncultured bacterium. RNAcentral describes it as "partial 16S ribosomal RNA". It matches the Rfam family "Bacterial small subunit ribosomal RNA", at positions 524 to 776 of the family's 1533-position model. The record is from RNAcentral.